UGUACGAGCCCAAGGCCCUCAACUAUAGAAGUAAAAAGUAAGUUUUUAGAUAUGUGGGACAAGCUGACCCAUCAUUUAGACGAAACAGACCAGAAAAGAAAACAAAAUGCAGAAACCAGACUAAAGUAUGGGCACUGCUCCAUGGGCCACCUGGCAGGAAAAAGAAACAGUCCCUGAGCCCCCGGAAGCCCUGACCACCAUGUACUUUUUGCUAACUCACUGUUAUGAUUAUAGCCAAAAUAGGUAACAUACACGUAUGCCUCAUUUACUCCACCAAUCACAUCCCUGUAACCAUGCAUCUGCUUCUGUAAGCCUGCUUCUGCACCCAAUGCCCUAUAAAAACCCGUCCCUGGUUCUGCUAGGCGCGCCAGUCUUCCGAAUUGACUGGGACGCCCACAGAUACCUGUGUAUCCUGAUCAAUAAAAAUCCUCUUGCAGAUUGCAGCCUGUGGACUCUGUCUGGUCAUUGGGCUUGAGGAUCUCCCUCCUGAGGGAAGAUUCUCUCUGAGAGUCUUACAUUAUGGAGGCUCGUCCGGGAUCGGAGAUCCACUGCCUAGAGACCACCGACCACCCACCGGAAGUAACUGUUACAGGUCUUCUUUACCACUGAAAAAAGAUGGAAUCCUACUAGAGGCCAGAAAGAAUGUUCCAGACACGGAUGGAAGACCCUCACUCCUUACUGUUGACUUGAAUACCCCUGAAGGAAUAGGUAGAAGCUUUCCCCACCAAGCAAGAGACAGCCUCAAUAGUCAUCAAGAAGAUACUAGAAGAAAUCUUCCCCCGAUUUGGAAUGCCCAAGGUAAUCUGGUCAGACAACAUCCCUACUUUCGUUGCCAAGGUAAGCCAGGGUGUGGCCAAAUAUUUAGAGGUCGAUUGAAAAUUACGUUAUAUUUACAGACCUCAAAGUUCAGGACAGAUAAAAUAAAUAAAUAAGACUCUAAAAGAGACCCUGACCAAAUUAACCAUGGAGACUGGCACAGACUGGGUGACACUCCUUCCCUCUUGCUCUCUUCAGAGCAAGAAAUACCUCUUCCAGAUUCAGCCUUACACCCUUUGAGAUCUUAUAUGGGGCCUCAGCUCCCCUGACUGUAUCAGAUGAUGUUACUGAACCAACAUGUCAUAGUAAUAAUAAUUUAUAUGCCAGGCUAAAAGACCUACAGGCGAUACAGAAAGAAAUCUGCACACAGCUGACAGCAGCCUAUGCCCCGGAGACCCCUGAGACAUGUCAUCAGUUCCAGGUUAGAGACUACAGCUACACUGAGCCCAGACACUCGAGCCUCGCUGGAAAGGACCGUACCUGGUGCUGCUGACCACCCUGACAGCCGUCAAUUCUCAGCCCUCACCAGCAGCGUACUAGCUGUUGGGGCUGAGAGCUGGGACCUAGAGGGACACUUAGAUCUUCAAAAAGCUCCCUAGACCUAAGUGACUGGGAGGUUGCUAUAAUGCUCACUUGAGGAGUGUGUUUUAGAAACAAGAAUUUCACGUUUGCUCUUGGUUCCCUCAGAAUAGGUGUAGGGAUAGGCUUGAUUUUUAUUGCAAAUGAUGUAACAUUGCAUAUGUUAGUACUCCUAACACUUCUUGGGACUGUGCCUCAGGGAUCACAACCUAUAUAAGUUUAGAAGUUCUAAAAGACCUUGGUGUAUAGGUUCAGAUAGUGUCCAGAUUAGAAUCCUGAUGCUAAAGACUUAAUAAGAAACAAAAGAGAGUUGAGAAUUAUUUAAGGCUAUCCAGGUGCUAAAAGGGCAGCACAAGGACAUCUGCUGUUGCCUUACAAUGCAAGGCUUAUAGAGAAUUCAGAACUGCCAUUGACUCAGAUAUAUAUAAAAAAAAAAAAACCAAAAAACAGAGGUACCUUAACCAAGUUGAGUGGAAGAUUCCACUCAAGGACAAAAAAAGAAAAUGGGGGAAUGAAAGACCCUCUCCCAAAAAGGGAAUUGUACAAGCCCAAGGCCCUCAACUAUAGAAGUAAAAAGUAAGUUUUUAGAUAUGUGGGACAAGCUGACCCAUCAUUUAGACAAAACAGACCAGAAAAGAAAACAAAAUGCAGAAAUCAGACUAAAGUAUGGGCACUGCUCCAUUGGCCACCUGGCAGGAAAAAGAAACAGUCCCUGAGCCCCCGGAAGCCCUGACUAUCAUGUACUUUUUGCUAACUCACUGUUAUGAUUAUAGCCAAAAUAGGUAACAUACACGUAUGCCUCAUUUACUCCACCAAUCACAUCCCUGUAACCAUGCAUCUGCUUCUGUAAGCCUGCUUCUGCUCCCCAAUGCCCUAUAAAAACCCGUCCCUGGUUCUGCUAGGUGCGCCAGUCUUCCGAAUUGACUGGGACGCCCACAGAUACCUGUGUAUCUUGAUCAAUAAAAAUCCUCUUGCAGAUUGCAUCCUGUGGACUCGGUCUGGUCACUGGGCUUGAGGAUCUCCCUCCUGAGGGAAGAUUCUCUCUGAGAGUCUUACACUAUUGGCAACACAGAUGAUUCCUUUUUAAAAAAUGUAACAUACUCUCUAGUGCUUCUGCCAACUAGACCUCAUUCGUGAUGUAUGUGAAAGGAUAUUAAAAGAAUAAGCUUCAAAAUUCACAGCCUCAGAGCUAAACACUGUCCUGCCCUGCUGCUAGGACUAACAGACCAUAAAGAUAAAGAAAAGGAAUGCAGGAACCAGCCCGAGUUAUCAGGAUUGACUCAUAAACCAUCUGGCAGGAGGACAUCUCCCCCAGCUUACUAAGAGUCAUACAUUAACCAGAUGUCCUCCAGACCCUGAUAAGCCCCUGACUUCUAGCACAUACUCUCCUGCUAUGUUGUAAUCUCACUGCUAUGUUUGAAUGAGCCAAUUGUGUGUAACCGCGCCAAAAUCCCCUAGCUUUCCCUAUAUAAACUGCCGACUUUUGAGUUUCAGGGUCAACUCCUCUGUCUCCUGCGUGAGACACGUGUGGGCCCGGAGCUCCGUUAUUAUUAAACUGCCUCUUGCUUUUACAUCAAGACCGGUCUCUCGUGUUUCCAGGGGCACGCCAUCCUGA
This is a long non-coding RNA of Rattus norvegicus (Norway rat), 3010 nucleotides long. RefSeq lists it as uncharacterized. The record is from RefSeq and is a predicted model, not a curated record. NCBI's taxonomy places the organism in Eukaryota, Metazoa, Chordata, Mammalia, Rodentia, Muridae.